RNAcentral lists this long non-coding RNA (576 nucleotides) under Pan troglodytes (chimpanzee). RNAcentral describes it as "lincRNA". Lineage: Eukaryota; Metazoa; Chordata; Mammalia; Primates; Hominidae. The record is from RNAcentral.
UUUCUUUGCCUGCCGCCAUCCACGUAGAAUGUGACUUGCUGCUCUUCGCCUUCUGCCAUGAUUCUGAGGCCUCCCAGCCACGUCGAACUACAGAAGAAGGAGAUGCCAGUGACAAGCAAAGUAACUCCCCCACGGCAUGGGAAGAGCCAGCAUCUGCUGCUGUCCAGGAACACAGUCUCACUGCUGCAGUCAAGGAAGGCCAAGGAAGCCACCGGGGAAAACCAACCCAUCCCGGGGACACUGGAGGCUCACUCCUUCCUCGCUGCAUUCUGAGGCUGCUGCUUUGGAGUGAGAGAUUAUCCUCUGCUUCUCCUGAAAGAGAAGGUGAUAUGCCCAGGACCCUUCCUGAGUAAGAUGUGUUCCUCAGAGGUUAAAAAAGAAAAAAAAGCCCCAAACCCCUGAAACCAAGAAAUCAAGACAGCUCUGGUGGAGAAGCUUUUGGGAACUUGCUGGGGCAGGCUCCAAUCAGCUUAAAGUCCUUGCAAAGAAAGAAAUUGUGCCCUGUCUCUCAGCGUCGACCAUAGCAGAGAGCCUGGGACAUGAAUGGGUGUCAUUAUUUAUCUGCUGAACAAAUAG